RNAcentral lists this ribosomal RNA (444 nucleotides) under uncultured bacterium. Its description in RNAcentral is "partial 16S ribosomal RNA". It matches the Rfam family "Bacterial small subunit ribosomal RNA", at positions 338 to 795 of the family's 1533-position model. The record is from RNAcentral.
CCUACGGGUGGCAGCAGUGGGGAAUAUUGGGCAAUGGAGGCAACUCUUACCCAGCAAUGCCGCGUGAAUGAAGAAGGUCUUCUGAUUGUAAAGUUCUUUAAUUGGGGAAGAAAAAAAUUACGGUACCCAAGGAAUAAGCCCCGGCUAACUACGUGCCAGCAGCGGCGGUAAUACGUAGGGGGCAAGCGUUGUUCGGAAUGAAUGGGCGUAAAGGGUGUGUAGGCGGUGUAGGGAGUUAGAAGUGAAAUACAUCGAGCUGAACUCAGGUGCUGCUUCUAAAACUGCUAUACUUGAGUGCAUUAGAGGAAAGUGGAAUUCCUAGUGUAGCGGUGGAAUGCGUAGAUAUUAGGAGGAACAUCAGUUGCGAAGGCGACUUUCUGGACUGUAACUGACGCUGAGGCACGAAAGUGUGGGGAGCAAACAGGAUUAGAUACCCUGGUAGUC